GAUGAACGCUAGCGAUAGGCUUAACACAUGCAAGUCGAGGGGUAACGUGUUGGCAGCUUGCUUCCGAUGACGACGACCGGCGGAUGGGUGCGUAACGCGUAUGCAACUUGCCUCACAGUGGAGAAUAACCCGGAGAAAUCCGGACUAAUACUCCAUACACUCUUAAGUACGCCUGUACAUGAGAGGAAAGAUUUAUCGCUGUGAGAUAGGCAUGCGUCCUAUUAGGUAGUUGGUGAGGUAACGGCUCACCAAGCCGACGAUAGGUAGGGGUGCUGAGAGGCAGAUCCCCCACAUUGGGACUGAGACACGGCCCAAACUCCUACGGGAGGCAGCAGUGAGGAAUAUUGGUCAAUGGAGGAAACUCUGAACCAGCCAAGUCGCGUGAAGGAAGAAUGUCCUAAGGAUUGUAAACUUCUUUAGCGAGCGAGUAAGGACUUCCACGUGAUGGGAGUUUGAAAGUAGCUCGAGAAUAAGUAUCGGCUAACUCCGUG
RNAcentral lists this ribosomal RNA (491 nucleotides) under uncultured bacterium. RNAcentral describes it as "partial 16S ribosomal RNA". It matches the Rfam family "Bacterial small subunit ribosomal RNA", at positions 28 to 507 of the family's 1533-position model. The record is from RNAcentral.